RNAcentral lists this ribosomal RNA (575 nucleotides) under uncultured Sphingomonas sp. Its description in RNAcentral is "bacterial SSU rRNA". It matches the Rfam family "Bacterial small subunit ribosomal RNA", at positions 23 to 644 of the family's 1533-position model. Lineage: Bacteria; Pseudomonadati; Pseudomonadota; Alphaproteobacteria; Sphingomonadales; Sphingomonadaceae. The record is from RNAcentral.
CUCAGAACGAACGCUGGCGGCAUGCCUAAUACAUGCAAGUCGAACGAGAUCUUCGGAUCUAGUGGCGCACGGGUGCGUAACGCGUGGGAAUCUGCCCUUGGGUUCGGAAUAACUUCUGGAAACGGAAGCUAAUACCGGAUGAUGACGUAAGUCCAAAGAUUUAUCGCCCAAGGAUGAGCCCGCGUAGGAUUAGCUAGUUGGUGGGGUAAAGGCCCACCAAGGCGACGAUCCUUAGCUGGUCUGAGAGGAUGAUCAGCCACACUGGGACUGAGACACGGCCCAGACUCCUACGGGAGGCAGCAGUAGGGAAUAUUGGACAAUGGGCGAAAGCCUGAUCCAGCAAUGCCGCGUGAGUGAUGAAGGCCUUAGGGUUGUAAAGCUCUUUUACCCGGGAUGAUAAUGACAGUACCGGGAGAAUAAGCUCCGGCUAACUCCGUGCCAGCAGCCGCGGUAAUACGGAGGGAGCUAGCGUUGUUCGGAAUUACUGGGCGUAAAGCGCACGUAGGCGGCUAUUCAAGUCAGAGGUGAAAGCCCGGGGCUCAACCCCGGAACUGCCUUUGAAACUAGAUAGCUUG